UCUGAGAGUUUGAUCCUGGCUCAGAACGAACGCUGGCGGCAGGCUUAACACAUGCAAGUCGAACGCCCCGCAAGGGGAGUGGCAGACGGGUGAGUAACGCGUGGGAACAUACCCUUUCCUGCGGAAUAGCUCCGGGAAACUGGAAUUAAUACCGCAUACGCCCUACGGGGGAAAGAUUUAUCGGGGAAGGAUUGGCCCGCGUUGGAUUAGCUAGUUGGUGGGGUAAAGGCCUACCAAGGCGACGAUCCAUAGCUGGUCUGAGAGGAUGAUCAGCCACAUUGGGACUGAGACACGGCCCAAACUCCUACGGGAGGCAGCAGUGGGGAAUAUUGGACAAUGGGCGCAAGCCUGAUCCAGCCAUGCCGCGUGAGUGAUGAAGGCCUUAGGGUUGUAAAGCUCUUUCACCGAUGAGGAUAAUGACGGUAGUCGGAGAAGAAGCCCCGGCUAACUUCGUGCCAGCAGCCGCGGUAAUACGAAGGGGGCUAGCGUUGUUCGGAAUUACUGGGCGUAAAGCGCACGUAGGCGGAUAUUUAAGUCAGGGGUGAAAUCCCGCAGCUCAACUGCGGAACUGCCUUUGAUACUGGGUAUCUUGAGUAUGGAAGAGGUAAGUGGAAUUCCGAGUGUAGAGGUGAAAUUCGUAGAUAUUCGGAGGAACACCAGUGGCGAAGGCGGCUUACUGGUCCAUUACUGACGCUGAGGUGCGAAAGCGUGGGGAGCAAACAGGAUUAGAUACCCUG
Molecule: ribosomal RNA, 737 nt
Filed under: uncultured bacterium
Lineage: Bacteria
Description: bacterial SSU rRNA
Rfam family: Bacterial small subunit ribosomal RNA
Source: RNAcentral